AGGGGUGCAGGGUAGCCUGCUGGGUGGAUCAGUGGUGAAUGGGUGAGUAACACGUGAGUAACCUGCCCCUGACUCUGGGAUAAGCCUUGGAAACGAGGUCUAAUACCGGAUACGAGACGCUCGGGCAUCCGAAGUGUCUGGAAAGAUUUAUCGGUCAGGGAUGGACUCGCGGCCUAUCAGCUUGUUGGUGGGGUAGUGGCCCACCAAGGCGACGACGGGUAGCCGGCCUGAGAGGGCGACCGGCCACACUGGGACUGAGACACGGCCCAGACUCCUACGGGAGGCAGCAGUGGGGAAUAUUGCACAAUGGGCGCAAGCCUGAUGCAGCGACGCCGCGUGAGGGAUGAAGGCCUUCGGGUUGUAAACCUCUUUCAGCAGGGAAGAAGCGCAAGUGACGGUACCUGCAGAAGAAGCGCCGGCUAACUACGUGCCAGCAGCCGCGGUAAUACGUAGGGCGCAAGCGUUGUCCGGAAUUAUUGGGCGUAAAGAGCUCGUAGGCGGUUUGUCGCGUCUGCUGUGAAAACUCGAGGCUCAACCUCGGGCUUGCAGUGGGUACGGGCAGACUAGAGUGCGGUAGGGGAGACUGGAAUUCCUGGUGUAGCGGUGGAAUGCGCAGAUAUCAGGAGGAACACCGAUGGCGAAAGGCAGGUCUCUGGGCCGCAACUGACGCUAGGAGCGAAAGCAUGGGGGAGCGAACAGGAUUAGAUACCCUGGUAGUCCAUGCCGUAACGUUGGGCACUAGGUGUGGGGCUCAUUCCACGAGUUCCGUGCCGCAGCAAACGCAUUAGGUGCCCCGGCCUGGGGGAGUACGGCCGCAAGGCUAAAACUCAAAGUA
This 835-nucleotide ribosomal RNA is filed under the name Cellulomonas pakistanensis. RNAcentral describes it as "bacterial SSU rRNA". It matches the Rfam family "Bacterial small subunit ribosomal RNA", at positions 68 to 908 of the family's 1533-position model. Lineage: Bacteria; Bacillati; Actinomycetota; Actinomycetes; Micrococcales; Cellulomonadaceae. The record is from RNAcentral.